UACGUAGGUGGCGAGCGUUGUCCGGAAUUAUUGGGUGUAAAGGGAGCGUAGGCGGGUCGGCAAGUCAGUGGUGAAAUACAUGGGCUUAACCCAUGAAUUGCCAUUGAAACUGCCGGUCUUGAGUGGAUCAGAGGCAAGCGGAAUUCCGAGUGUAGCGGUGAAAUGCGUAGAUAUUCGGAGGAACACCAGUGGCGAAGGCGGCUUGCUGGGGUCUAACUGACGCUGAGGCUCGAAAGUGUGGGGAGCAAACAGGAUUAGAUACCCU
RNAcentral lists this ribosomal RNA (265 nucleotides) under uncultured prokaryote. RNAcentral describes it as "partial 16S ribosomal RNA". It matches the Rfam family "Bacterial small subunit ribosomal RNA", at positions 524 to 788 of the family's 1533-position model. The record is from RNAcentral.